AAGUACCUAAAGUUAAAGGUCUAUGUCCAAUAAAACCGACUGGAUAGAUAAUAAGGGAGUCUAAUUGAAUUAUGGUGUAGAAGACUUAUCCAUUAAGUGAAUAAGAAUCCUAAAAUGAUUCAUGUGAUGCCCACCUGCUCGGAGCGGGUUUUUAUCAAACAAGGCUUUUCUUUAGGUUUUUA
RNAcentral lists this non-coding RNA (182 nucleotides) under bacterium. RNAcentral describes it as "6S RNA". It matches the Rfam family "6S / SsrS RNA". From Rfam's summary of the family: E. coli 6S RNA was the first non coding RNA to be sequenced, but its function was unknown until recently. It consists of 184 nucleotides that fold into an extended hairpin structure with a large single-stranded internal bulge. The record is from RNAcentral.